RNAcentral lists this ribosomal RNA (253 nucleotides) under uncultured bacterium. RNAcentral's name for it is "partial 16S ribosomal RNA". It matches the Rfam family "Bacterial small subunit ribosomal RNA", at positions 524 to 776 of the family's 1533-position model. The record is from RNAcentral.
UACGAAGGGAGCAAGCGUUGUCCGGAUUUACUGGGCGUAAAGCGUGCGCAGGCGGUUUCUUAAGUCAGAUGUGAAAGCCCCGGGCUUAACCUGGGAACUGCGUUUGAAACUGGGAGACUUGAGUGUGGCAGAGGGGGGUGGAAUUCCACGUGUAGCAGUGAAAUGCGUAGAUAUGUGGAGGAACACCGAUGGCGAAGGCAGCCCCCUGGGUUAACACUGACGCUCAUGCACGAAAGCGUGGGGAGCAAACAGG